Long non-coding RNA from Triticum aestivum (bread wheat), 168 nucleotides. RefSeq lists it as uncharacterized. The transcript is spliced from 2 exons. Lineage: Eukaryota; Viridiplantae; Streptophyta; Magnoliopsida; Poales; Poaceae. The record is from RefSeq and is a predicted model, not a curated record.
GACAGUGGCGUCGCACGAGAGAGAGGAUGAAGAUGGGGAGAGGCGGCGGCGGCGGCUUGGAGGGAGAUCGAGGAAGAGGAGGGAGGGUCGCGUGGGGGCGUGGGUGGGGAAGCGCUAGGUUUUUACCGGGCGUUCGCCCGUGACUCUCCUCUCUCACGCAGGCACGGG